CCAAACAUGUAGACUAACCUCUCCCUUUGUUA
This 32-nucleotide transfer RNA is filed under the name Craugastor polyptychus. RNAcentral's name for it is "partial tRNA-Met". Lineage: Eukaryota; Metazoa; Chordata; Amphibia; Anura; Craugastoridae. The record is from RNAcentral. RNAcentral also lists the same sequence under 1 other name.